RNAcentral lists this ribosomal RNA (253 nucleotides) under uncultured bacterium. RNAcentral describes it as "partial 16S ribosomal RNA". It matches the Rfam family "Bacterial small subunit ribosomal RNA", at positions 524 to 776 of the family's 1533-position model. The record is from RNAcentral.
UACAGAGGCCUCGAGCGUUAGGCGGAAUCACUGGGCUUAAAGCGUGUGUAGGCGGACCCCUAAGUACCUUGUGAAAUCCCACGGCUCACCCGUGGAACGGCUGGGUAUACUGGGGGUCUUGAGCCACCUAGGGGCGAGUGGAACAAAUGGUGGAGCGGUGAGAUGCGUAGAUAUCAUUUGGAACGCCAAUGGUGAAAACAACUCGCUGGGGGUGUGCUGACGCUGAGACACGAAAGCCAGGGGAGCGAACGGG